GUGCCUUUAGCUCAGCUGGAUAGAGCAACUGCCUUCUAAGCAGUAGGUCAGGGGUUCGAGUCCCUUAAGGCACGCCA
This 77-nucleotide transfer RNA is filed under the name Clostridia bacterium. RNAcentral describes it as "tRNA-Arg". It matches the Rfam family "tRNA". Rfam says of the family: Transfer RNA (tRNA) molecules are approximately 80 nucleotides in length. Their secondary structure includes four short double-helical elements and three loops (D, anti-codon, and T loops). The record is from RNAcentral. RNAcentral also lists the same sequence under 1 other name. Lineage: Bacteria; Bacillati; Bacillota; Clostridia.